UCUAAUAGUGCAAUUAAAAUUUUUUGGAUUAUAGAUUAAAUUAUAAUUUUAUUAAAUCUGGUGUUUGGGGGUGAAAUUUAAAUAUCAAUUUAAUUUUUUUUUUGUUUUGAGGUCACUAAAUUAAUUAAAAAACUAGGAUUAGAUACCCUAUUAUUAAAACUUAAUUUUAUUUCCUUAUGAUUAAUAGUUAUGUUCUUUAAAGUAAAAAAAUUUGGCGGUAUUUUAGUCUAUUCAGAGGAACCUGUUCUAUAAUUGAUGAUCCACGAUUAUUUAAACUUAAUUUUUAAUUUUACAUAUCGUUGUUUAAAACAUUCUCUUAGGAUAUGUUUUUUAAUUUUUUAAAAAUAUAAUUCAGAUCAAGGUGUAGUUUAUAAUUAAGCAGAAAUGGGUUACAUUGAUUUUAAUUUAGGAUUUUAAAUUUUGAAAAAGAAUGAAUUUGGAUUUGAUAGUAAAUUUUAAUAUAUAUUAAUUUUGAUUUUAGCUCUAGAAU
Molecule: ribosomal RNA, 490 nt
Filed under: Cassida lineola
Lineage: Eukaryota; Metazoa; Arthropoda; Insecta; Coleoptera; Chrysomelidae
Description: partial 12S small subunit ribosomal RNA
Source: RNAcentral